This 267-nucleotide long non-coding RNA is filed under the name Capsicum annuum. RNAcentral describes it as "long non-coding RNA (CANN_LNC000100)". The record is from RNAcentral. Lineage: Eukaryota; Viridiplantae; Streptophyta; Magnoliopsida; Solanales; Solanaceae.
CCCCAUGAAAAAAGCUUUAAGGUGGUUGAGUUUUGCAUUUAGUUACUGCAGUAAUUCUAGUUUAAUAAAUUGUUUAGAUUAGAAUGAAUUUAAAUUGUGAAUUUUGAAUUAGGUUGUUUUAGUUGUUCUAUGUUGGCUAUUUAAAGCCCCUCUAUGCUUACGAAAUUUAUUGAAAGCUUAUUGAAAGCUUGAAAGUCAUUUCAAUCGAAAUUUAUUGAUAGCUUGAGAAUCAUUUCAAUCCAAAGAGAGUCAUUUUAACCCCUUUUC